GUUCUGGGGACUCUGCCCAGGGUCGCGGGGCAGGGACGCUGAGCUUAGCCCGCACUUCUGCUCCCACGCGACCCAGAGGUCGCCUGAGGGCAGGGCCGGGGACCGCGACCUGCCAAGUCGUAGGGAUGGCCUGAGCAGGCUUGGCCGCCCUAGAGCGGGGUGUCGGGUUGCCCACGCAUCCAGAUCAACACUAGCGUGGAGGGAGCAUUCCUGAAGCUCUGACCUGAGCCAGGGCCCGAGUACAUGUUUCCGCCCUCCCACUUACUAGCUUAUGACCUUGGGAAAGUCCGGUUGCUUCACUGGAGCUUGUUUCCUCGGCCAUAAAAUUAAGAGGUUGGGCUAGAGAAUCUCCACAGUCCCAAACAGAUGUGAAAUUCUUUUCCUUUCUAGAACUCUCCCUUCUUUUACCUAGAAAACAAAAACCUCCUUGACACCAGGUACCGAUGCCACGUUUUGUGGGAGAACCACCUCCUCUCUUAAAAUAUAAAGCCUCCCCGGGAGUUCCGCAGAAAUCCGUAAAAAUGUAAUAUGUGGCGCGGUACACAAAUGGAAAGCUGCUCCUAAACAGCGCUCAGAACUUUGUACCUCUUUAUAGUACAGAUCAGACUCCGCUGCAAACCCAGGCAACAUUAGACUCCCCGCUUAACUCCCGGAAGGCAGAGAGCUUGGCUUGUUUAUCCAGCAUCCCUACAGUGGCCCAGCCCUUCUAGCAGGAGGGGUUGGGGGGGUGGUAUAGUGAUAGUCCUUGGUUCAGGGGGUAGAUGCAUGAUCCAGACACCCACAGCCAGCUAAAAGUUAUCAAGCUGAUGCAAUCAGAAUUUUGCUGGGGCUGGGCUUGGUGACUCACGCCUGUAAUCCCGGCACUUUGGGAGGCAGAGGUGGCGGAUCACCUGAGGUCAGGAGUUCGAGACCAGCCUGGCCAACAGGGCGAAACUCCGACACUACUGUAAGUACAGAAAUAAUUAGACGGGCAUGGUGGCUGGCGCCUGUAAUCCCAGGUACUGGGGAAGCUGAGGCACGAGAAUCGGUUUGAACCUGGGAGGUGGAGGUUUCAGGGAGCCGAGAUCGCGCCACUGCAGUCAAGCCUGGGCGACAGAGGGAGACUCCAUGUCAAAAAAAUAAAUAAAUAAAAAUAAUUUUGCGGCGGGGUAAGGAGGAAAAAGAAGUUGGGUAGCUGACCAGGCCUGGAAAGCAAGAGAUUUGAAGGACUUUGGGUGGUGGUAGAGACAGGAUGAUAGGUCUGAUUCCAAAAUUCAAGCUCUCACUGCCACUGUAAUUGAACCUCAGUCAUUUUCUGAAUCUGAUGCCUCGAUUGCUUUACCUUUUCAGGCCUCCUUUUCUUUUUAUUUUCUUUUCUUUUCUUUUCUUUUUUUCUUUUUUUUUUUUUUGAGACGGAGUUUUGCUGUUGUUGCCCAGGCUGGAGUGCAAUGGCGCGAUCUCGGCUCACCGCAACCUCCGCCUCCCAGGUUCAAGCGAUUCUCCUGCCUCAGCUUCCCGAAUAGCUGGGAUUACAGGCAUGCGUCACCACGCCCGGCUAAUUUUGUAUUUUUAGUAGAGACGGGGUUAAUUUUGUAUUUUUGGUAGAGACGGGGUUUCUCCAUGUUGGUCAGGCUGGUCUCGAACUCCUGACCUCCGGUGAUCCACCCGCCUCGGCAUCCCAAAGUGCUGGGAUUACAGGCGUGAGCCACCGCACCCAGCGUUUUUUCCUUUUAUGCCAAAUGGAGUUAGGGCAGGCUCUACCUUAUGGUGUUUUUGUUUUUUGUUUUUUGUUUUUGAGACGGAGUUUUGCCCUUGUUGCCCAGGCUGGAGUGCAAUGGCGGGAUCUCGGCUCACUGCAACCUCUGCCUCCUGAGUUCAAGCGAUUCUCCUGCCUCAGCCUCCUGAGUAGCUGGGAUUGCAGGCGUGCACCACCACGUACGGCUAAUUUUUUUUUUCUUUUUUCCGAGACAGAGUCUCACUCUGUAGCCCAGGCUGGAGUGCAAAUGGCGGGAUCUCGGUUCACUGCAAGCGCUGCCUCCCGGCUUCCCGCCAUUCUCCUGCCUCAGCCUCCGGAGUAGCUGGGACUACAGGAGCCCGCCACCGUGCCCGCCUAAUUUUUUGUAUUUUCUAUAGAGACGGGGUUUUACCACAUUGGCCAGGCUGGUCUCGAACUCCUGACCUCAGGUGAUCCACCCGCGUCUCCCAAAGUGCUGGGAUUACAGGCGUGAGCCACCGCGCCUGGCCUACCUUACGGGGUUUCUGUGAGCC
RNAcentral lists this long non-coding RNA (2247 nucleotides) under Homo sapiens (human). RNAcentral describes it as "non-protein coding lnc-TOB2-3:2". The record is from RNAcentral. Lineage: Eukaryota; Metazoa; Chordata; Mammalia; Primates; Hominidae.